Molecule: long non-coding RNA, 2858 nt
Organism: Gadus macrocephalus (Pacific cod)
Lineage: Eukaryota; Metazoa; Chordata; Actinopteri; Gadiformes; Gadidae
Exons: 4
Source: RefSeq, a predicted model, not a curated record
CUCUCUCUCUCUCUCUCUCUUGCUUCCUCUAACGCUCUCUCUCUCUCUCUCUCUCUCUCUCUCUCUCUCUCUCUCUCUCUCUCUCUCUCUCUCUCUCUCUCUCUCUCUCUCUCUCUCUCUCUCUCUCUCUCUCUCUCUCUCUCUCUCUCUCUCUGUGUUUCUCUCUGUCUCUCUAUCUCUGUCUCUUUCUCUCUCUGUCUCUCUCUCUCUCUCUCUCUCACUUGCUUCCUCUCUUGCUCUCUCUCACUCUCUCUCCCCCUCUGACCUCUGACAGGAUGGGAUGUUGUAUAAACACAUUUGUCUAGGAAGUACAGGCUUACACACAUAUCACACACAUCAGCACAGCACACACCCACACUACCCUUCUGGAUGGCCCCUUCCAGGAGGCAUGACUCACAUCUCUAUCCAGCAUACAGCCCGGUCUGGUCUGAUCCUCCCCCCCCCCCCCCCCGGUCAGAGGGGCGUGGACCCCGACGGGGCUUCCUACUGGAGGACCUCCCUGACCCCAGGUGGACUGCUGUGGCUUUGCCACGAGCGGCUCCGCGUGUGCCAAUCCUGUGGACCUGCUGAGCGUGUCUGGGGGCCGGACAGACCCCAGAGGGCCCGUGUAGCUGGUCCCACAGACGCUGAGGGGGGCCCCACAUCGCCCCAAAGGCAUCCACAACACGUCCUCCUUCUCGGACACCUGCGGCCGUUCUCCGGACAGACGGAGCCACAGGACAGACGACUGACCUGCACCUCGGUGUUCACUAGCGUCUCGGUCGCUGCUCCACUCUGCUGCCUGUCUGACGCCUCUGUCGGCUCAACCCUCUCCAGCGUGACGGCGUGACGGCGGCUCCAAGGCCGUGACCGCGAGGGGACGCACACUACACCACAGCUCAGCAGGAUACGAAUGUGAACAACCAUCAGUGAGAUUGGUCCAGUGUGGAGGGAGAACGCUACAGACGCAGUCCAUGAAUCAGGCUGCACUGAUCCUUUGGGGCUAUGGCACCCCAUAAUGUCACGCUCACGCAGAAGUCUCCAGACGGUACGGAGCAGCUGUAGGAUUCAGUUCUGAAGUGGAAGAGCACUUUUUGGCACCACACUGGCCAGAGUUUGUUGUAUUGGACUACAGAAAGCGUAGCUUUAUGUUCUCUUAAGAAUUGGGGUGAAGGAGGGUUGAGAUUUCCCUCCUCCCGCUCAACUCUUCAGAAUGAGGGAUCUUUUCAUUAAUGUUGUCAGACACUAAUAAUAACAUGAAGAAGUAUUAUCAAAUCAUAGCGCAAGUUUCAAGUGUGUUCUAUAGUUCUCGUCCUAUGCUUUAUUCAGGCGAGGUGGAUAAAUAACGUGAUGAAUGCUCAACAUAUUUAUCAACUAAAAGUGGGGGUCAGAUGUCUGGCGCCAGGGAAAAUGUGUCCUCAGCUAACAGAGGGAACAACAUGAUGCAACACCAUAUCUACAUUUCUCAACAAACAAUCUGAGCCUGUCGGUGGCAAGAACAACAACUUUUAGAAUUUAGAGGAUGUACAUUGAUGGCUCGCUGUUGCUUGAAAUUGGAACAUUGCAGCUUGUUUCGCAGGUUACGGCUUGAGCAGUGACAUAUUAUACCACCAGGUGUGAGUGUUAUUAGCCGUUACAAGCCGUUUUGAAAAUAUGCCUCUUCUGACAUCACAAGUGGGCUUGUCCACCUAGAUGUGUGCUGGAUAGUCUACCAAUCUACCCAGUGGACGCAAACUUUGCUUAUCUAUCCGUCAUACAUCUAGGUGGACACGCCAACUUGUGUUGUGAUGUCAGAAGAGGCCGUUUUUCAAAACGGCUUGUAACUGCUAAUCACACUCACACCUGGUGGUAUAAUAUGUCACCUUUAAAGUCUUUGCUAAAUACUAGACAAAUUUAAAAAAUGGUUGUCCGCAAUACUCCCAAUGCACUCCGAAAUUAUGGGAAAACAGAGUCCAGGUAAAACAAAACCCUUCAAGGGUUGAACAAAAGGUAAACAUUGUUGCAGCACAGACCAGUGAGAAUGUAUCUUGUUAUGUAAAUAUGUCUUGUUUUGUGUCCAAUCACAAACCCUUAUUUUGGCAGUUGAUUCUGUCAGGCUUCCGGUGGAUGAUAUCUUGAUCAUUUGUCAUUUAUCGAAGAUACAAUUCCUGAGGGGUUCAGCUAUAGAGCUAUUUCUGUAGCAACCUGCAUUUUCCUUAUAAAUGUGUCAUGGAAAUUGCUAGGAACAGGUACACAAUUUGCUCAAGCUAACAUUGAACAACAAUUACAACGUCUCAUAUUGUUGUUCAAUGGCCCUCACAUUUCCCUCAGGCCUGUACGCCUAGCAGAAAGAGUUCUUUGAUGUUAAGCCAGGACUCAAAGCGUGUUUCAUUUUGAACCUAUUUAAUAACAUGGAUUAGGCUCCAGAAGUGCUUGUUCCGUCUAAGGUGUCAUUACGAGGUUUCCCCAUCCCCACGCCCAAAGACUGGUUUGAAGAAUUAAAUUCAUUAAAGGGGGCAUAUCAUACCACCAGGUGUGAGUGUGAUUAGCCAUUGAAAACGGCUUGUAAUGGCUAAUCACACUCACACCUGGUGGUAUGAUAGGUCCCCUUUAAGUGCUAAAGAUGUGUGAUGCAAUGCAAAUAAAAACAAUGCUCAUUAUUUUAUAUUUAAUUAUUAAUUGUGUUUAUUGUUUCGGUCUGUCUGUCUCUCUGUCUGUCUCCAUCAAUCUAUCCAGCAGUCAUCUAAAUGGUGUGUGUAUAAUAUAUUUUUUCACGUUGACAAAAUAAUACAGAACACAUUUAUAUUUUAACGUUGGUUACUAUCUCUACAUGAGUAUAUAUCAUUUAUACGAAGGCAGUAUGUAGAUCCGGUUUAUAUCAGAGCUGUCAAGCGAUUCAA